GAUGAAGAACGUAGCGAAAUGCGAUACUUGGUGUGAAUUGCAGAAUCCCGUGAACCAUCGAGUCUUUGAACGCAAGUUGCGCCCGAAGCCAUUAGGCCGAGGGCACGCCUGCCUGGGCGUCACACGUCGUUGCCCCCCCAUCUACUCCUUCGGGAUUGCGGGGGGCGGAUGAUGGCCUCCCGUGCGCCUCGCCGCGCGGUUGGCAUAAAUGCCAAGUCCUCGGCGACGCACGCCACGACAAUCGGUGGUUGCGAAACCUCGGUUGCCCGUCGUGUGCGGUCGUCGCGCAUCGAGGGCUCGAAAAAAUUGCCGGGUUCCGGCUCGGCUUUCAACGCGACCCCAGGUCAGGCGGGGUUACCCGCUGAAUUUAAGCAUAUCAAUAGGAGGA
RNAcentral lists this unclassified non-coding RNA (388 nucleotides) under soil metagenome. RNAcentral's name for it is "partial contains 5.8S ribosomal RNA, internal transcribed spacer 2, and large subunit ribosomal RNA". The stretch from base 1 to 122 matches the Rfam family "5.8S ribosomal RNA", at positions 35 to 154 of the family's 154-position model. The record is from RNAcentral.